AUUGAACGCUGGCGGCAUGCCUUACACAUGCAAGUCGAACGGCAGCGCGGGCUUCGGCCUGGCGGCGAGUGGCGAACGGGUGAGUAAUGCAUCGGAACGUGCCCAGUCGUGGGGGAUAGCACGGCGAAAGCCGGAUUAAUACCGCAUCCGACAUGAGGGUGAAAGCGGGGGACCGAAAUUCAACGCGCCAUUUGCACCGCCGAUGUCGGAUUAGCGAGUUGGUGGGGUAAAGGCUUACCAAGGCGACGAUCCGUAGCUGGUCUGAGAGGCCGACCGGCCAAACGGGAAGUGAGACAGGGCCCAGACUCCUACGGGAGGAAGCAGUGGGGAAUUUUGGACAAGGAGGGAAACCCGGAUGCAGCCAGGCCGGGGGCGGGAAGAAGGCCUGCGGGUGGAAAACCGCUUUUGUUCGGGAAGAAAUCCUCGGGGGUAAUACCCCGAGGGGAUGACGGUACCGGAAGAAUAAGAAACGGCUAACUACGUG
RNAcentral lists this ribosomal RNA (484 nucleotides) under uncultured bacterium. RNAcentral describes it as "partial 16S ribosomal RNA". It matches the Rfam family "Bacterial small subunit ribosomal RNA", at positions 29 to 507 of the family's 1533-position model. The record is from RNAcentral.